AUUGAACGCUGGCGGCAUGCUUUACACAUGCAAGUCGAACGGCAGCACGAAAGAGCUUGCUCUUUUGGUGGCGAGUGGCGAACGGGUGAGUAAUGCAUCGGAACGUACCGAGUAAUGGGGGAUAACUAUCCGAAAGGAUAGCUAAUACCGCAUACGCUUUGAGAAGGAAAGUGGGGGCUCUUCGGACCUCACGUUAUUCGAGCGGCCGAUGUCUGAUUAGCUAGUUGGUGGGGUAAAGGCCUACCAAGGCGACGAUCAGUAGCGGGUCUGAGAGGAUGAUCCGCCACACUGGGACUGAGACACGGCCCAGACUCCUACGGGAGGCAGCAGUGGGGAAUUUUGGACAAUGGGCGCAAGCCUGAUCCAGCCAUGCCGCGUGUCUGAAGAAAGGCCCUUCGGGGUUGUAAAAGGGACUUUU
This 418-nucleotide ribosomal RNA is filed under the name Kingella oralis. RNAcentral describes it as "bacterial SSU rRNA". It matches the Rfam family "Bacterial small subunit ribosomal RNA", at positions 30 to 437 of the family's 1533-position model. Lineage: Bacteria; Pseudomonadati; Pseudomonadota; Betaproteobacteria; Neisseriales; Neisseriaceae. The record is from RNAcentral.